GUAAAGUUCAGGCCGAAUUUCCUCACACUAGGAAAACGGGGGAACCAGUUAUGGGUGAAUUGAUCUUGCUUCAGAGGGAUCAUAGGGGACCUUCAACCGAAUCCUUAAGCUAACCUCGCAGGCACCGGAAGGGGCAACU
RNAcentral lists this small RNA (139 nucleotides) under Paenibacillus pini. RNAcentral's name for it is "c-di-AMP sequence". It matches the Rfam family "c-di-AMP riboswitch aptamer (ydaO/yuaA leader)". From Rfam's summary of the family: This family represents a conserved RNA structure found upstream of the ydaO and yuaA genes in Bacillus subtilis and related genes in other bacteria. The ydaO/yuaA element is thought to act as a genetic "off" switch for the ydaO and yuaA genes in its native state. It is believed that the element may be triggered during osmotic shock leading to activation of ydaO, a predicted amino acid transporter gene, and members of the yuaA-yubG operon which code for KtrA and KtrB K+ transporters. Lineage: Bacteria; Bacillati; Bacillota; Bacilli; Caryophanales; Paenibacillaceae. The record is from RNAcentral. RNAcentral also lists the same sequence under 1 other name.